RNAcentral lists this unclassified non-coding RNA (347 nucleotides) under soil metagenome. Its description in RNAcentral is "partial contains 5.8S ribosomal RNA, internal transcribed spacer 2, and large subunit ribosomal RNA". The stretch from base 1 to 120 matches the Rfam family "5.8S ribosomal RNA", at positions 35 to 154 of the family's 154-position model. The record is from RNAcentral.
GAUGAAGAACGUAGUGUAAUGCGAUAAUUAAUGUGAAUUGCAGAAUUCAGUGAAUCAUCGAGUCUUUGAACGCACAUUGCGCCCCCUGGUAUUCCGGGGGGCAUGCCUGUCCGAGCGUCAUUGCUGCCCUCAAGCACGGCUUGUGUGUUGGGCUUCCGUCCCUGGCAACGGGGACGGGCCCAAAAGGCAGUGGCGGCACCAUGUCUGGUCCUCGAGCGUAUGGGGCUUUGUCACCCGCUCCCGUAGGUCCAGCUGGCAGCUAGCCUCGCAACCAAUCUUUUUAACCAGGUUGACCUCGGAUCAGGUAGGGAUACCCGCUGAACUUAAGCAUAUCAAUAAGCGGAGGA